Molecule: ribosomal RNA, 253 nt
Filed under: uncultured bacterium
Lineage: Bacteria
Description: partial 16S ribosomal RNA
Rfam family: Bacterial small subunit ribosomal RNA
Source: RNAcentral
UACAGAGGGUGCGAGCGUUGUCCGGAAUCACUGGGCGUAAAGGGCGCGUAGGUGGCCUGAUAAGUAGGGGGUGAAAUCUCGUGGCUCAACUGCGAGGCUGCCUCCUAAACUGUCAGGCUCGAGCAGAGUAGAGGCAGGUGGAAUUCCCGGUGUAGCGGUGGAAUGCGUAGAGAUCGGGAAGAACAUCGGUGGCGAAGGCGGCCUGCUGGGCUCUUGCUGACACUGAGGCGCGACAGCGUGGGGAGCAAACAGG